AGUGAACGCUGGCGGUAGGCCUAACACAUGCAAGUCGAACGGCAGCACAGGAGAGCUUGCUCUCUGGGUGGCGAGUGGCGGACGGGUGAGGAAUACAUCGGAAUCUACUCUGUCGUGGGGGAUAACGUAGGGAAACUUACGCUAAUACCGCAUACGACCUACGGGUGAAAGCAGGGGACCUUCGGGCCUUGCGCGAUUGACUGAGCCGAUGUCGGAUUAGCUAGUUGGCGGGGUAAAGGCCCACCAAGGCGACGAUCCGUAGCUGGUCUGGGAGGAUGUUCAGCCACACUGGAACUGAUACACGGUCCAGACUCCUACGGGAGGCAGCAGUGGGGAAUAUUGGACAAUGGGCGCAAGCCUGAUUCAGCCAUACCGCGUGGGUGAAGAAGGCCUUCGGGUUGUAAAGCCCUUUUGUUGGGAAAGAAAUCCAGCUGGCUAAUACCCGGUUGGGAUGACGGUACCCAAAGAAUAAGCACCGGCUAACUUCGUGCCAGCCGCCGCCGUAA
RNAcentral lists this ribosomal RNA (506 nucleotides) under uncultured bacterium. RNAcentral's name for it is "partial 16S ribosomal RNA". It matches the Rfam family "Bacterial small subunit ribosomal RNA", at positions 29 to 523 of the family's 1533-position model. The record is from RNAcentral.